Molecule: ribosomal RNA, 1029 nt
Filed under: Kocuria sediminis
Lineage: Bacteria; Bacillati; Actinomycetota; Actinomycetes; Micrococcales; Micrococcaceae
Description: bacterial SSU rRNA
Rfam family: Bacterial small subunit ribosomal RNA
Source: RNAcentral
UGUUAAAGUUUGAUCCUGGCUCAGGACGAACGCUGGCGGCGUGCUUAACACAUGCAAGUCGAACGAUGAUCUCCCAGCUUGCUGGGGGUGAUUAGUGGCGAACGGGUGAGUAAUACGUGAGUAACCUGCCCUUGACUCUGGGAUAAGCCUGGGAAACCGGGUCUAAUACUGGAUACGACCUCCUGUCGCAUGGUGGGGGGUGGAAAGGGUUCUACUGGUUUUGGAUGGGCUCACGGCCUAUCAGCUUGUUGGUGGGGUAAUGGCUCACCAAGGCGACGACGGGUAGCCGGCCUGAGAGGGUGACCGGCCACACUGGGACUGAGACACGGCCCAGACUCCUACGGGAGGCAGCAGUGGGGAAUAUUGCACAAUGGGCGCAAGCCUGAUGCAGCGACGCCGCGUGAGGGAUGACGGCCUUCGGGUUGUAAACCUCUUUCAGUAGGGAAGAAGCGAAAGUGACGGUACCUGCAGAAGAAGCGCCGGCUAACUACGUGCCAGCAGCCGCGGUAAUACGUAGGGCGCAAGCGUUGUCCGGAAUUAUUGGGCGUAAAGAGCUCGUAGGCGGUCUGUCGCGUCUGCUGUGAAAGCCCGGGGCUCAACCCCGGGUCUGCAGUGGGUACGGGCAGACUAGAGUGCAGUAGGGGAGACUGGAAUUCCUGGUGUAGCGGUGAAAUGCGCAGAUAUCAGGAGGAACACCGAUGGCGAAGGCAGGUCUCUGGGCUGUUACUGACGCUGAGGAGCGAAAGCAUGGGGAGCGAACAGGAUUAGAUACCCUGGUAGUCCAUGCCGUAAACGUUGGGCACUAGGUGUGGGGGACAUUCCACGUUCUCCGCGCCGUAGCUAACGCAUUAAGUGCCCCGCCUGGGGAGUACGGCCGCAAGGCUAAAACUCAAAGGAAUUGACGGGGGCCCGCACAAGCGGCGGAGCAUGCGGAUUAAUUCGAUGCAACGCGAAGAACCUUACCAAGGCUUGACAUUCACCGGACCGCCCCAGAGAUGGGGUUUCCCUUCGGGGCCGGUGGACAGGUGG